Molecule: long non-coding RNA, 907 nt
Organism: Cornus florida
Lineage: Eukaryota; Viridiplantae; Streptophyta; Magnoliopsida; Cornales; Cornaceae
Exons: 3
Source: RefSeq, a predicted model, not a curated record
UUCUCUACCACUCAUAUAUGAUAUAUGAGACUACUGUAUUCAAUAAAGUAAUGGGCAGCGCAUCAUCGAAUCAUCGAUUCAUCUACUAGUUCAAUAAUAUUAAUUUUGGCAGGAAUGUUUGGGGAGAUUGAAGUUUAAGAUGGAAAAUUCUAAGGGAACCUAAUGAACUGAUCAACUAAGCUCAGACCUAUAACUUUAGUAUGCAAAUCUCUUCAGGGGUGAGUAGUUCUCCACCACUUGUGCAGUGAUAUUUUUCACUAGCCUCCCUCAAAAUUUUCGGCCAGUGUCUCUGUCACAUCCAUCAACGAAUCCCUUUUUUCUCUCUCUAUGAAUCCAUCAUAGAAACCCUAACCAGUUCUUACCCAAAUUCUCUGAAUCCAUCAUAUAAACCCUAAACCUGUCUUACGAAAUUAUCCGAAUCCCUUUUGUCUCUCUGAAUCCCAAACACGAUAAACCCUAUUUCGCGAUUUUCAUCUCCCAAUCGCAUGGAGCUUCGUCUUCCAUCACAGAGGAUAAUCGCCCAGAUUCACACAAGAAGCCAGUCUUCACCAAUGCAGGCAUAUAAUCAGGCCAUCAAUGAUCUAGACAAGGAACUCGAUCAUCUGAAGAACGCAUUUUAGCUACCUGCGUGAAAUUUGUACCAUGGACAACGAGGUGGAGAAAGUGUCUGAACGUUGAAAGUCAACUUGUGCCAAGAAUUAAUAAACAAUGUGAAGAUUGAUGUAUUGAUUUGUUUUAAACAAAUGUUAGAUUUUCUUUUUUUGUUUUGGCAUAUUGAACAAUGAUGAAUUGUGAAAAUAUCUCUAGUCUUUUGAUAUGUUUAAUGUUGUAUUUAAAUGUUGAUUGUUUUGGUUAUUGGCAUCUAGUUGAAAGUGUUAGCAUCGUUUAGUUGAAACUGUGGGCAAUU